Molecule: ribosomal RNA, 469 nt
Filed under: uncultured bacterium
Lineage: Bacteria
Description: partial 16S ribosomal RNA
Rfam family: Bacterial small subunit ribosomal RNA
Source: RNAcentral
GAUGAACGCUGGCGGCGUGCUUAACACAUGCAAGUCGAACGGUGAAGCUCCAGCUUGCUGGAGUGGAUCAGUGGCGAACGGGUGAGUAACACGUGAGCAACCUGCCCCUGACUCUGGGAUAACAGCCGGAAACGGCUGCUAAUACCGGAUAUGCACCAUGAACGCAUGUUCUGUGGUGGGAAAGAUUUUUCGGUUGGGGAUGGGCUCGCGGCCUAUCAGCUUGUUGGUGAGGUAAUGGCUCACCAAGGCGUCGACGGGUAGCCGGCCUGAGAGGGUGACCGGCCACACUGGGACUGAGACACGGCCCAGACUCCUACGGGAGGCAGCAGUGGGGAAUAUUGCACAAUGGGCGAAAGCCUGAUGCAGCAACGCCGCGUGAGGGAUGACGGCCUUCGGGUUGUAAACCUCUUUUGGCAGGGAAGAAGCGAGAGUGACGGUACCUGCAGAAAAAGCGCCGGCUAACUACGUG